Molecule: long non-coding RNA, 928 nt
Organism: Medicago truncatula (barrel medic)
Lineage: Eukaryota; Viridiplantae; Streptophyta; Magnoliopsida; Fabales; Fabaceae
Exons: 2
Source: RefSeq, a predicted model, not a curated record
CCACAAACGCACACUCAUAGAAUUUAUUCAUAGGUUGUGGAAAGAGUAUAUUCUGUUAGGGUUCCCUAAGAUGUUAUUCACAAUUAUAAAUAGCAAAGUGUCAUUGAGGGUUUGGAUAUGCCAAUUAUCUUGCUCAUUCACCGAAUCAAUUAGACUCAGAACUCUAUAUAUACACAAAAACAACAGGUUGCUAUGCAAGAAUGAACCCAUCAUAUAUAGUCGUUGUUUGCAGGUGCAGCAGCAUCAAGAUUCACAUACAAAUUCUUUAAUUGGUGUAAUUAAUCACACCGAGUGGAGUUUUUUUGUUAUUGAGAAUCUUGAUGAUGCUGCAUCAGCAAUAAAUGAUUUCAGCCGAUCCAUCUUAAUUUAUACAGUUUCCUAUAUAUGGAUCUUGGAUCCGUUUUUCUUAAAAAUAUUGAUUAUUUUCUGUUUCAAUAUGAUUCUUGAUAGACUUUCAUGCUCAAGUCAGAAUCUCUAAGUGAAUCACUGGUGAUUUUAAAAAUAGCUACACUUUAUGAUUCAAAAAAUGCUUUACCUGUGCCCCAGCUCCAUAGAUUCUUAUGUCCAAGAAGAUAUGUCUUCCCUGAUGAAAGGAAAGGAACUCUAUGAAGAUAUAUAAACUGUGUUCAUAAUUUUCUUUACUUUCAUUUUUCAUUUUUUUGAAGAUGUUUUGCAGGUUAGGCAUUAUAUGAUUUCUUUUAUGUCUUGUUCUACCUCUCUGAUUGCUGUCUGUCCGUACUAAUAGCCAGCUGGAUGAUAUAUAUUACACCUUGAACUUUUUCUUUUGUUGAUCAAAUAUUACACUUUGGUUGAAGGGAAUAUAUCUAUAUAUGUGUGUGUGUGUGUGUAAUGUGUAUAAUAAAGCUUUUAAAUGGGCAGAGUAUUAAUUUGUUCACCGUCCUAGUACAUAAAUAUUACUUCAUUUUAA